GAUGAACGCUGGCGGCGUGCCUAAUACAUGCAAGUCGAGCGAACGGACGAGAAGAUUUCUCCACUGAUGUUAGCGGCGGACGGGUGAGUAACACGUGGAUAACCUACCUAUAAGACUGAGAUAACUACGGGAAACCGGAGCUAAUACCGGAUAAUAUUUUGAACCGCAUGGUUCAAAAGUGAAAGACGGUCUUGCUGUCACUUAUAGAUGGAUCGGCGCUGCAUUAGCUAGUUGGUAAGGUAACGGCUUACCAAGGCAACGAUGCAUAGCCGACCUGAGAGGGUGGUAGGCCACACUGGAACUGAGACACGGUCCAGACUCCUACGGGAGGGAGCAGGAGGGAAGCUUCAGCGAUGGGCGAAAGCCUGACGGAGCAACGCCGCGUGAGUGAGGAAGGUAGUCGGAUCGUAAAACUCUGUUAUUAGGGAAGAACAUAUGUGUAAGUACCUGUGCACAUCUUGACGGUACCUAAUCAGAAAGCCACGGCUAACUACGUG
RNAcentral lists this ribosomal RNA (497 nucleotides) under uncultured bacterium. RNAcentral describes it as "partial 16S ribosomal RNA". It matches the Rfam family "Bacterial small subunit ribosomal RNA", at positions 28 to 507 of the family's 1533-position model. The record is from RNAcentral.